AAUAAAUAAAUAAAAUCUUUUAAAAAAAUUUUUAAGUAAAAUGUUGAUUUUUUGUCGAAUUAACCUUAAGUUUGAUCAAAAGAAUAUUUGAGAGGAUCGUAACAGAAAUGGCAGUGUUCUACCCCAUAUUUUCCUUCUUAAUGCCUCCUACUUUUAACUCUCUUCGUUUUUUCUCUGUGCUUUUAAAUAAGAAUGAAUGGAAUACUCUCAAUUUAUUUAUUUUAGUAUUGUCUUUGACUUCUCAUUAUGAUAAAUGAGGCUUUUAGCCCCCAUAUAUUUUUCCCAUUCUCCUAAACGAGUAAAAUAACAACUUUUGGUUGAAUCCAUGACUGUAAAGUAUUGUCUCUAUUGAGCUAAAUAUCAUACACUAUGGUGUCAUUUGCUUAUUAUAAAAUUUUGGCUUUUUUCUUGGAGUUUAAAAUUGUUUUCACUUGCUUUGUUUUCUUUGAAUUUAACAUUAAAUCUUUAUGUAUCCGUUGUUAUCUCUAGAAUCUAGCAGUUUUAUUUUUUUUCCAGGAAAUCUUCCUGGAUUUGAUCAUUUUUGCCAAAAGAAUGCAGAUACUUGGUAUACCAGUUGUUUAUCUGCUAGUUUGUCAGCAGGAACCUACUUGCAAAAUUUGUGUUUCUAAAACGUGCUCCUUCCUGGUUUUCUUUCUCUCCAAAAUGGCUUUAUGAUUUGGAGACCUCAGUGUUCCUACCUUCAUAUCUGAUUCUUUUGUUCUGUCAUAUUGGUUUGAAGAAAAGGUCAAUAAUAAUUGCAUAAGGUUGUUUCUGACGUUUGGUGAACCUAAGGUUCUUUUGUUUUUUUUAACUUAGCAUCUCAUUGAAGUCUUACCAGCUACCUUGUAGCCUCUAAAUCCUCUCUCUCUCAGGUACUAAAAACAGAUUUCCUAUCUGUGCCUGCAAAGCAUUAAUUUCUUUCUGAAACACAUUUUCAGCUGUCUACUCAUUUGCAGAGUGAAAGUGACAGGUCUUUAGUUUAACAGAAAUUAAAAUCUUCCUGGGUUCAGAUUAUUACCUCUGCUUGCUUUCUGCAUAGUAAUUUUUCACCCAAGGCAUUCCUCUUCUUUCUUGCCUUUCAACUUACUGAUUUUCUGUGAAUUCUGUCUUUGCCACUUUAUUAUUCCCCAAAUAAUUCAUUUAAUAAGCAAAUAUUUAUUAACUGAGAUGUGCCAGGCACUGUCCUAGGUGCUGGGGAAAUAGGGUGAGCACCAUAUUCAAGCUCCCUGGUCACACGGAGAGCAUGUUCCAGGUAGGAGGAUACGGAGAACACAAAUAGGUGCUAUGAGAAAGUGAAACAGAAUGAUACGAUGAAGUGUGGUUGUUGCUAACAUGGACAAGGCAGUUGGGGAAAGCCUCUUUUGAGGAGGCAGCAUCUAAGCUGCGAGUGGAAUGAACAGAACCCAGCCAUUUGGGAGUAAGAGGGAACAGAGUCCAGGUGAAGUGGAUGGUAGGUGUGAAAGCAGGAAAGGGCCUGACAUGUAGGCUUGCAUGGCGAGACUCAGGAGAGAUGGGUAGGUGAUGAGGUGGGAGUGCCACCAGAACCCUGUGAUGAAGGACCUUGUGGACCACGAUGAGGACUUGGGAAUUCAUUCUGUGCACAGUGGGAAGCUAUCGGAGGGUCUUACUAUACAGGGGAGUGUUGUGGUCUGAUUGAUAUUUCAUGUGAUCGCUCUGAGUGUUGUAGAGAGCGGGGUGGGGGCAGGUGCACUCACCAAAAUAAAACACAUGGUUAAAAAGAUGUAAUGCCAACCACAGGAAGAGAGAGCAAGGAUUCCUUCAUAUUUUCCCCUAGGAAUGAAGUGUGGACACCCUAGAAACUAGCUUUGGUUAUUGGGUGUUAUUCUGAGCUAUUCGCCUACUCCCUGUUGACAGCUUCUCCUGUGUGCUCCUGAGUGACGUUUUGAAAGGUCUGUACCUUCUAGCGUAGAGAAGUCUAUACCCAUGUAACACAUAGGUAAUCUGGUACUUAUUUCACUGUAGUGUUAGGAACAAAAUUAGAUAUUGAAAUUUUGACAGUACAGAAAUGGUCAUUGUCACAUGGCACUAUUUUUUUACUGCUCAUGCUUAGUUACUUAAUUUCAGAAGUUGCCUUAAUUUAUAUUUUCCAUCUAUGAAUGCUUCACUUAGCCUCCAAAGAAGCUUAAGAAUUUUCCUUAUUAGCAGUAUUUAUUAUUUCUCACUAGGGGGCUCUAUUUGGGGUAUACUGCCUUGAAGUGUGUGUCUCAUAUUAACCUGAGACUCCAGUAGAAUUAUGACUAAAAAGAAGAAAGAUAUUGUUAAUUCUUAAAUUGAUGCAGUGUCUUUUCUAUCCAAAUUGCUUCAGUGUAUUUGUAUUUGUAACUUAGUCAUUCCUUCCUUAACAUGCCCAUUUUGUGUGCUGUGAUUGGCACAAUAGAGAGAGACUGGAAAAUAAGAAAAAUAGUCAAGUCCAAGCAUAAUGUGAUAAAGAUUUAUACUUAAAUGUUGGAGGAAGUUGUGGUUAAAAAAAAAAAGAAUGGGUGUGUUGCCCAUGAGCUCACCUUGUCCUUCCGUUUUGAUGCUCGAAAACUAAGGCGUCGAGCCUGAGUGGCAGGUAGGAGUGAGACCGUUGAUGGUGGCAGUUAACAUCGCAGGAGAGGGUGAGUUCCGCUGUGGGCAUGUGGGAAACGUACCCAAGUGAAGUUCUUCACUGAACUUCUAGAUAUGUAAGAUUGAAAUUGGGGUGAGAAGUCAGGAGUAUGGUUAUAUAUCUGAGAGGUGAAAAAUAAAGGAGCCCUGGCCAGUGUGGCUCAGUCGGUUAGAGUGCCAUCCUGUACUGAAAGGUGAUGGGUUUGAUUCCUGGUGAGGGCACAUACCAGAGUUGCCAGUUCCACCCCCAGUCUGGGCGUGUACGAUUCCCCAGUCUGGGCACGUGUGGGAGGCAGCCAGUCGGGGGAUGUGUUUCCCUUCCCUUCCUUUCUUUCUAAAAGCAAUGAAAACAUAUCCUCAGGUGAGGAUAAAAGAAAAAGUAAUUUAAAAAUAAAGUAAAUGAAGGAGAUCAUGGAAGUGGAGGCUAUUGGAGAGAGAGUGGGAAAACCAGAAUGGAAAGAAAGCCCCUGGAGGAUGCUCCUCAGGUUCUGUCCCGCAGCAGCACGGACGACUCUGCAUAUAGCGUGUAAGGCGGCAUGUGUGUCGGGGAAGAGUACCCUCAUUCUUUCCACGUGUAACCAAGUACAAUGCUCAGCCCUUUAUUAAUUAAUAAUGUUUACUGGUAGAAUAAUCAACAUGUAAGCCUGACUGUAGCUAACACGUAAAAUUUUUGGCCAGCGGAGUUCAGAGUUGGUAAAAUAAGGCGACAAAAGAAAAUUGCUGACUGCAGAAACUGGAAUAGAUCAUGUCCAAUACUGAGGGAAGCUUAUUGUAAUCUUUGUUGAUCAGUGCACAUGGAGAAGAAAUAAGUCAAAAUGGGGAAAAUGUAUAUAUAAAUAAUUUAUCAAUGAAAGUUCAUCAGUGUUAGCAUAUUCUGAUUUCUGUGUUUUUAUUCAUAAACAUAACAUUAAAACCCAGGUAGGGGAGUAUCAAAACACCCUCUAACUCACCUUUACCUUAGGGAGUCUAAGUUCAGAAAAGCAGUAAAAAUGGAACCCAGCUUUCAGGGGUUAAGGAGAGACUAGGUAGUGUGGAAAAUCUGUCGUUCAGUUAAUUUUAGACCAAAAGAAAUAAAAGUAAUUCCUGUGGUUUCUAGAGGUUGAGGAAGAGCCAGGAAUUAAAAAAGGUUA
Phyllostomus discolor (pale spear-nosed bat) is the source of this 3740-nucleotide long non-coding RNA. RefSeq lists it as uncharacterized. The record is from RefSeq and is a predicted model, not a curated record. Lineage: Eukaryota; Metazoa; Chordata; Mammalia; Chiroptera; Phyllostomidae. The transcript is spliced from 2 exons.